ACUACGGGCGGCAGCAGUGGGGAAUAUUGCACAAUGGGGGAAACCCUGAUGCAGCAACGCCGCGUGAAGGAAGACGGUUUUCGGAUUGUAAACUUCUAUCAAUAGGGAAGAAAGAAAUGACGGUACCUGACCAAGAAGCCCCGGCUAACUACGUGCCAGCAGCCGCGGUAAUACGUAGGGGGCAAGCGUUAUCCGGAAUUACUGGGAGUAAAGGGAGCGUAGACGGUUAAGUAAGUCUGGAGUGAAAUGCCGGGGACCAACCCCGGGACUGCUCUGGAAACUAUUGAACUUGAGUGCAGUAGAGGUAAGCGGAAUGCCUGGUGUAGCGGUGAAAUGCGUAGAUAGUAGGAAGAACACCAGUGGCGAAGGCGGCUUACUGGACUGUAACUGACGUUGAGGCUCGAAAGCGUGGGGAGCAAACAGGAUUAGAUACCCUUGUAGUC
Molecule: ribosomal RNA, 443 nt
Filed under: uncultured bacterium
Lineage: Bacteria
Description: partial 16S ribosomal RNA
Rfam family: Bacterial small subunit ribosomal RNA
Source: RNAcentral